RNAcentral lists this ribosomal RNA (422 nucleotides) under uncultured Bacteroidota bacterium. Its description in RNAcentral is "bacterial SSU rRNA". It matches the Rfam family "Bacterial small subunit ribosomal RNA", at positions 355 to 774 of the family's 1533-position model. The record is from RNAcentral. Lineage: Bacteria; Pseudomonadati; Bacteroidota.
UAAGGAAUAUUGGUCAAUGGGCGCAAGCCUGAACCAGCCAUGCCGCGUGCAGGAAGACGGCCCUAUGGGUUGUAAACUGCUUUUAUCAGGGAAUAAUCCCUCGUACGUGUACGAGGCUGAAGGUACCUGAAGAAUAAGCAUCGGCUAACUCCGUGCCAGCAGCCGCGGUAAUACGGAGGAUGCAAGCGUUAUCCGGAUUCAUUGGGUUUAAAGGGUGCGCAGGCGGAUUGGUAAGUCAGGGGUGAAAUCCCACAGCUCAACUGUGGAACUGCCUUUGAUACUGUCAGUCUAGAGUAUAGUUGAAGUGGGCGGAAUGUGUCAUGUAGCGGUGAAAUGCUUAGAUAUGACACAGAACACCGAUCGCGAAGGCAGCUCGCUAAGCUAUAACUGACGCUCAUGCACGAAAGCGUGGGGAUCAAACA